This is a long non-coding RNA of Selaginella moellendorffii, 425 nucleotides long. RefSeq lists it as uncharacterized. NCBI's taxonomy places the organism in Eukaryota, Viridiplantae, Streptophyta, Lycopodiopsida, Selaginellales, Selaginellaceae. The record is from RefSeq and is a predicted model, not a curated record. The transcript is spliced from 3 exons.
AUGGCGGGCUGCGUUUGAUGCGCAAGGGCGGCUCAAUGUGAAGCGAGUUCUUCGGCACAUCGAAAGAGGGGGCGUUGCGUCGGAGAUUCGCGCUCACGUCUGGGAGUUUCUUUUGGGUGUUUACUCCCCCGGCAGCAAUGCUGCCGAAAGGGAAGAGCUUCGUCAAUCGCGACGUGACAAAUAUUUGAAGCUCAAGGCCGAGUGAAAGCGAAUGGAUGCGGCCGUUGGAAGUGGCGAAGUUGUGAUAUCGCCGCGAAUGAAUGCCGACGGAGUUCCCAUGGAGGAAAAUAAUCCAGGUGCUUAGUUCUUUGUUUGCUUCGGGCUUUUCACUUUCAGUCCAAGUAUUAGCAGAAUCCAUUGAAAAGUUGUGCUGGAUCCAGCGCCGAGGGCAAAGAUUGUCCAGUGGAAAGCUCUUCUCCACCAGA